GCAAGAUGUAGCUUAAAUUAAAGUACGACACUGAAAAUGCCGCGAUAAAUAGUAGAUAUUUCACCAGCA
Molecule: transfer RNA, 69 nt
Filed under: Hydromantes brunus (limestone salamander)
Lineage: Eukaryota; Metazoa; Chordata; Amphibia; Caudata; Plethodontidae
Description: tRNA-Phe
Source: RNAcentral